CCUACGGGUGACAGCAGUGAGGAAUAUUGGUCAAUGGGCGCGAGCCUGAACCAGCCAAGUAGCGUGAAGGAUGACUGCCCUACGGAUUGUAAACUUCUUUUAUAAAGGAAUAAAGUGAGGCACGUGUGCCUUUUUGUAUGUACUUUAUGAAUAAGGAUCGGCUAACUCCGUGCCAGCAGCCGCGGUAAUACGGAGGAUCCGAGCGUUAUCCGGAUUUAUUGGGUUUAAAGGGAGCGUAGAUGGGUUGUUAAGUCAGUUGUGAAAGUUUGCGGCUCAACCGUAAAAUUGCAAUUGAUACUGGCAGCCUUGAGUAUAGUUGAGGUAGGCGGAAUGCGUGGUGUAGCGGUGAAAUGCAUAGAGAUCACGCAGAACUCCGAUCGCGAAGGCAGCCUACCGGCGCACAACUGACGCUCAUGCGCGAAAGCGUGGGGAGCAAACAGGAUUAGAUACCCGGGUAGUC
This 460-nucleotide ribosomal RNA is filed under the name uncultured bacterium. RNAcentral's name for it is "partial 16S ribosomal RNA". It matches the Rfam family "Bacterial small subunit ribosomal RNA", at positions 338 to 795 of the family's 1533-position model. The record is from RNAcentral.